Molecule: small RNA, 214 nt
Filed under: Vigna angularis var. angularis
Lineage: Eukaryota; Viridiplantae; Streptophyta; Magnoliopsida; Fabales; Fabaceae
Description: Non-protein coding transcript
Source: RNAcentral
GAAACAUGUAUGUAUGUGAUAAUAUACACUUAUGUAAGCACGAAGAGCUUGAGAAACCCUUCAUCGCAGAGGAGAAAAAGGCGAACAUGGAGGAAACAGUUACGGGGGAAGAAGCUUCAAUGAUCAGAUCAUCAGUUUGACGAUCAGAAAGCGUCUAUGAAAUCACAAAAGUGUAAUAUCCAUCAUUAUCCUAUCACUUUUACUUCUAGAGCAA